UUAAAUUUAUUGAUCUCAGAG
RNAcentral lists this non-coding RNA (21 nucleotides) under Caenorhabditis elegans. The record is from RNAcentral. Lineage: Eukaryota; Metazoa; Nematoda; Chromadorea; Rhabditida; Rhabditidae.